Molecule: ribosomal RNA, 525 nt
Filed under: uncultured bacterium
Lineage: Bacteria
Description: bacterial SSU rRNA
Rfam family: Bacterial small subunit ribosomal RNA
Source: RNAcentral
GAUGAAUGCUGGCGGCGUGCUUAACACAUGCAAGUCGAACGAAGCACUAUAGCAGAUUUCCUUCGGGAAUGAAACUGUAUUGACUGAGUGGCGGACGGGUGAGUAACGCGUGGGUAACCUGCCUUGUACAGGGGGAUAACAGUUAGAAAUGACUGCUAAUACCGCAUAAGCAUACAGCAUCGCAUGGUGCAGUGUGAAAAACUAUGGUGGUACAAGAUGGACCCGCGUCUGAUUAGCUAGUUGGUAAGGUAACGGCUUACCAAGGCGACGAUCAGUAGCCGGCCUGAGAGGGUGAACGGCCACAUUGGGACUGAGACACGGCCCAGACUCCUACGGGAGGCAGCAGUGGGGAAUUUUGGACAAUGGGGGCAACCCUGAUCCAGCAAUGCCGCGUGAGUGAAGAAGGCCUUCGGGUUGUAAAGCUCUUUUGUCAGGGAAGAAACGGUUGAUGCUAAUACCAUGAACUAAUGACGGUACCUGAAGAAUAAGCACCGGCUAACUACGUGCCAGCCGCCGCAGUAAGAC